This 29-nucleotide non-coding RNA is filed under the name Cricetulus griseus (Chinese hamster). Lineage: Eukaryota; Metazoa; Chordata; Mammalia; Rodentia; Cricetidae. The record is from RNAcentral.
GCAGUCUGUGGCCCUGGUUGAAGGAAGCA